AUCAAAAUUUAGUUCAAGUAGCCUAUUAUUCUAUUUUCUUUCCUUAUGUCAUCUGAUAAAAUGGUGAGCUGUGAGCUUUAAGUAAACAUCUCCCUCAAGUUCCUCUGGUCCAUAAUAUUCCUUGCAGAUGUUGAACGAUGGGCUGGAUUGUUUUGGAACCUUGUUCCAGCAGAGCCCAUGUGUUCAUGAAGAAAACAUUUGCUUACAGCUUAUUUCUACCAUUGCCUCUAUUUCAGUGUUUUGUUGUUGUUGUUGUUGAUUUGUUUUUUUUUUUUUUUUUUUUGAGAAGGAGCGGGGGUUGCAGUGAGCUGAGAUCCUGCAACUGCACUCCCGCUGGGCAAGAGUGAGACUCCAUCUCUAAAAUAAAAUAAUAUAAAAAACUGCUUCUCAUAAAAGCUUUGGUAUAGUCUUACGAGGUCACAUCAUUGUUUUGCAACUAUGAUAUGUGUUCAAAAUGUUCUUCUAUGACCCCACAUUUCAUUAGAUAUAUUUUUAAACCAUUUUAAAAUUGUUUUUCUCUGAAAUUUAUUGUGUUCAGUUUACAUUGAAGACUGCAUGCUCUCUAGUCUGCAUCAUACAUUGGAAACAUUUUCUGGUACCUGAUAAAUGAUUUUAGGUUGUUUCAAUGUGUACUUGAUAAAGAUAUCAAGUAACUUUUUCUUUAUGCUAACAUCAAAAUUUAUUUGAAGUAGC
This 693-nucleotide small RNA is filed under the name Pongo abelii (Sumatran orangutan). Its description in RNAcentral is "processed transcript". The record is from RNAcentral. Lineage: Eukaryota; Metazoa; Chordata; Mammalia; Primates; Hominidae.